GCCUUCGUGGUGUAGUGGUCAGCACGCUCGAUGCGUAACCGAGAGGUUUGUGGUUCGAGUCCCGGCGGAGGCG
This 73-nucleotide transfer RNA is filed under the name Stegodyphus mimosarum. It matches the Rfam family "tRNA". From Rfam's summary of the family: Transfer RNA (tRNA) molecules are approximately 80 nucleotides in length. Their secondary structure includes four short double-helical elements and three loops (D, anti-codon, and T loops). Further hydrogen bonds mediate the characteristic L-shaped molecular structure. tRNAs have two regions of fundamental functional importance: the anti-codon, which is responsible for specific mRNA codon recognition, and the 3' end, to which the tRNAs corresponding amino acid is attached (by aminoacyl-tRNA synthetases). tRNAs cope with the degeneracy of the genetic code in two manners: having more than one tRNA (with a specific anti-codon) for a particular amino acid; and 'wobble' base-pairing, i.e. permitting non-standard base-pairing at the 3rd anti-codon position. The record is from Rfam by way of RNAcentral. Lineage: Eukaryota; Metazoa; Arthropoda; Arachnida; Araneae; Eresidae.